Molecule: long non-coding RNA, 619 nt
Organism: Catharus ustulatus (Swainson's thrush)
Lineage: Eukaryota; Metazoa; Chordata; Aves; Passeriformes; Turdidae
Exons: 3
Source: RefSeq, a predicted model, not a curated record
AAGUUUAGUUCAGAGGCUCAGCUUGACAUUCAUUGGUUUCUAAAUCGGAACCUCUUGAGCGAUUGUCCCAGCAAUCCCAGGGAUUGGGGCCUGAGCAAAUAGCCCCCGACUAAUUCUGCUGUAGUAGGGGGGAAACGAAGCAGUUAAAUGUCCGGUUUAUCAACAGAAAACAACAACUGAGCCUUUGUCCUAACAGGGUGCAGGAGGAAACCGUUUUGCAGGGCUCAUCUGCAUGAGAAACCCGGGCAGCUGGGAAACACCGACAUGCGGCUUGGGGGGAGACCCACGCAGACACUGGAGGAGAAAAAUAUUCCAUACAUCGGCUUUCUGUACCAGCACCUUCAAAAAGGAAGCUAAACUCGGGAAUUCUGAGUAGCAUCUCUGGAUGGCUGGACUGAGCUGAGGCUUCACAGAAACUUGAAGCUGAAACUCCUUAGACAAAAAAUCCCAUCUGGCUUUACAGGCCAUCCCUGCCUUUCCAGGGUAGGAGGGCAAUGGAGACAGAGCCACCUCCACCUGAAACAUUCCCUUCACAAACACAUCCUGAGCUCAGUGAAGAUGAGCAACAGAGGGCAUGGCAUCCUUCCAUCUGCUCCCGUUCUGGAGGAGAGAUAAACCC